AUCGGAUAUUACUAAAAAUUGAAAAAGAUAUAAACAGGAAAUUCAAAUGCACAAUUUGUAGGGUGAGGGCUGAGGCAUCGAUUUGAAAAUAUUUUAUCGGAUUUUAGGGCCUGUUCAUAUGGGCAAAAGUUAUCCCGGUUAGCGAGAAAACUUUUCGACAAGUUUACAAGCGAGAUCUCGCCUUGGUAUGAAAAUAAUAUGAAAAGUUACACUGCGUUCAUACGAGACAAAAAGUUUUCCCGUGUACCGAGA
This is a non-coding RNA of Paramuricea clavata, 252 nucleotides long. The record is from the annotation of a GenBank genome assembly. NCBI's taxonomy places the organism in Eukaryota, Metazoa, Cnidaria, Anthozoa, Malacalcyonacea, Plexauridae.